GACGAACCGUGCGAACGUUAUUCGGAAUCACUGGGCUUAAAGCGCGUGUAGGCGGGGCGGCACGUCUGUCGCUGAAAUCCCCCGGCUUAACCGGGGAACUGGCGGAGAUACGACCGUCCUGGAGGGGCGUAGGGGGACCUGGAACUUCCGGUGGAGCGGUGAAAUGCGUUGAGAUCGGAAGGAACGCCCGUGGCGAAAGCGAGGUCCUGGACGCCUACUGACGCUGAGACGCGAAAGCCAGGGGAGCGAACGGG
This 254-nucleotide ribosomal RNA is filed under the name uncultured bacterium. RNAcentral describes it as "partial 16S ribosomal RNA". It matches the Rfam family "Bacterial small subunit ribosomal RNA", at positions 524 to 776 of the family's 1533-position model. The record is from RNAcentral.